This is a non-coding RNA of Punica granatum (pomegranate), 2453 nucleotides long. The record is from RefSeq and is a predicted model, not a curated record. Lineage: Eukaryota; Viridiplantae; Streptophyta; Magnoliopsida; Myrtales; Lythraceae.
AUUUAAUUUACAUUAUUAAUGAUUAAUUCUUUUGUUACGUGUUACGUGGUCCAAGAUUCAUAUCACAUGCCCUAGCAUGUGCGGAUGGAUAAUAAAUAUAAUUAAUCAUCAAUGCUAGCCGGGGCAUAUAGAGGCAAAUCAUUCUUAAAAAUUGUAUAAAAAAAGAGAUUGCUCUACCAAAAUUCUGACUCGUGCACUUUUAGGAACUUGAAUUGUUCGUAUUUUUUUCCUUAUGGGAGUUGAAAUUGCUUUCUACUCAACCAAUAUCUUAGUGUGUUGGUGUGGCUACAUGAUAUGUUUUGCUUUUGUCUGGUUGCUCAUGUUUAUAUAUCACGCGUUAUAUGUAUAUAUACAUACACACACACAUAUAUAUAUAUAUAUAUCUCCGAGAUUCCUAUAGGACAACCGACAUCUAACAAUUGCCUUCACGCGUGCAGUGUUUUUAAAGCUAAUUAAGCUUCUUUUAUUUGCUCUCCUUCCUCAUUACCCUUCCCAAUUCGUUGCUGUUUGCAUCGCCCAUGAUCAGUUUUUCUUUAACAAUUUCCUGACGAUCUCUUUUUCUGUCUUAAUUUUAACCGUCUCCGCGGCCGGCCCCGAUCUAUUGUACAACUCCACUCCAGAGAGAAGCCAUUGGAAUGUUCCUCUGGUUUCCCCAGUGGCAGUGCUUCCAACUGCCCACUUCAUGAACGUAUCCACCAAGAAAACCACUGGCGGGCACGCAGCUCCUCUAGGUCAUCGAUGGAGAAGCAGCUGCUAAGAGACACCAGCUAGCAUAAAGUCCCUAGCUAGUAGCGAUAGGCACAGCCUAGCUCAAUCGGAGCUAGGGGAUGGCAUGCAUUUUUGGUGACACAACGUAUGAAUGGAUGAAGGCGAUGGAUGAGGAUGAAGGCGAGGAGCUAGGACAAGGAAGUCUCGCAUGCAUGCAUGCAGAGGCAGAGGCUCAUUGCAUUGAACGUCAUAGGUUUGGUGUGUGUUGUGGCAUAUUGUGUGGUUGGAUUGGAUGCAUGGGGGGAAGGGAACCAAGACGAUGGGAUUGGUGUGUUUUUUUCGGUUAUAAGGAGGUCCAUGGGCUUCGUACAUUGAAAUAGAAAUCCAAAAUAUCUAUUAAAGGGGCACGGGGGAGCUUCUCCUUUUUGCAAUUGAGAGCUGAUAUAUUACCAUUCAUUAGAUGAAAGAUCAGUGUAGGUGGGAGCUUGUCCUUUUGGUUUGAUCCUUGGCUUUCUGCUGGCCCAUUAGUAAACUACUGUGAACAGGGCUUUAAAUGUUUCCCUACUAUAGGGAAGCAGGCGUGUAUUAGCUCCGUUUUGGUCGAUGGUUGUUGGAAUUGGCCAAGAAGUACAGACCCUCAGGCCAGAAUUAUUCAUAGUCUCGCUGCUGAAGUGGAAUUUGCUACAUCUGCUGGUUAUGUCUCGUCCUCUAAUUAGGUUGGGCAGUAUACCACUCAUAGUGCGUGGCAAAGUCUGAGGAAAAAGGAGCCUAAGGUGCUACGGGAAGCAUCUAUUUGGUUUAAUGGGCACACCCCUAGAGCAUCAUUUAUAAGCUGGCUCUGUAUCCUUGAUAGAUUGAGCACUAAAGAUAGAUUGAGUAGGUGGAAAAUUGAGCUAGCAGCUGAGGAGUGUGAAUUUUGUUGUUCAUGCUUGGAAGCUCGUGAUCACUUGUUUUUCACUUGUCCCGUUACACAAGGAGUUUGGAGAAGCUUGUUAUUGCGGAUUCGUCUACGAAGACAGCAAGUGGAUUGACAUUCUGAGCUGGGCUGGAUAUCUUCUUUGAAGGGCCGAACGCUGGAUGUUAUUUGCCUGAAGGUUAUGUGGACUCAUUACAUUUAUUGGACAUGGAGGGAGCGCAAUAAAAGGAUCUACAGAAAGGAAGUUAUGCGUUGGUUUUACCUAAUGUUUCUUUUGUACAUGCUAGACUUUUGUGUUUUGCUGAUGGGAGCAUUAGGCAAUUUUGCUGUUAGGAGGGAGGUGGGUAUCGAACUUGGAAUCUCUUGGUCACCAAGCAAAAGGGUCGCUCCUUCGGCUGAAUGAUCAAAUUCGAGAGGCCCGUCCACCUGUGGAGCAAAUUCAGCAACAAGAGCGCAUCGAAGUGGAUGGAGCUGUGAAGCAAAGGGGCUCUCAAACCUGGCUUUCUGGAGCUGCAAUGGCCUUUGGCGGCAAAGGAGAGAUCGAGGAGGUAAGAGCGGAGAAGGUGACCUGGGAAGAUCCAAUUGUGGCCGAAGCGUUGGCCUGUAGAGCGGGUCUCCGACUAGCUAUGGCAUGUGAAGGAAGAGCGCCAGCUAUUCUGUCUGAUUGCCUUGAGCUAGUUCAGGUCCUGCAUGAAAGGAGUCGAUGGCUAGUGUCACUUAUUCCAGUCAAACCGGAUUUGGUCUCCUUGUUGUCUGUAAAUAGAGGCAAAAGUAGCAUUAUAUAUGUGAAUAAGAAUUAUGUAGCUGUGGCCCACAAACGUGCAAAAAA